GACGAACGCUGGCGGCGUGCUUAACACAUGCAAGUCGAACGGAAAGGCCCUGCUUUUGUGGGGUGCUCGAGUGGCGAACGGGUGAGUAACACGUGAGUAACCUGCCCUUGACUUUGGGAUAACUUCAGGAAACUGGGGCUAAUACCGGAUAGGAGCUCCUGCUGCAUGGUGGGGGUUGGAAAGUUUCGGCGGUUGGGGAUCGACUCGCGGCUUAUCAGCUUGUUGGUGGGGUAGUGGCUUACCAAGGCUUUGACGGUUAGCCGGCCUGAGAGGUUGACCGGCCACAUUGGGCCUACGAUACGGCCCAGACUCCUACGGGAGGCAGCAGUGGGGAAUAUUGCAGAAUGGGCGGAAGCCUGAUGCAGCAACGCCGCGUGCGGGAUGACGUCCUUCGGGUUGUAAACCGCUUUCGCCUGUGACGAAGCGUGAGUGACGGUAAUGAGUAAAGAAGCACCGGCUAACUACGUG
This 468-nucleotide ribosomal RNA is filed under the name uncultured bacterium. RNAcentral describes it as "partial 16S ribosomal RNA". It matches the Rfam family "Bacterial small subunit ribosomal RNA", at positions 28 to 507 of the family's 1533-position model. The record is from RNAcentral.